AUAUCUCUCCGUACGGGAAGGAUGAGAAGCUUCGACUAAGGUUCGAUUCGAGCGAAAGCGAGAAAGCGUUGCCGCAGGCAACGACCCGAAGGGCGAAGCGCGCAGCGCUGAGUCAUCCUUCCCCCAC
RNAcentral lists this small RNA (127 nucleotides) under Salmonella enterica. Its description in RNAcentral is "partial RtT sRNA". It matches the Rfam family "RtT RNA". From Rfam's summary of the family: This family represents a bacterial cis-regulatory element known as RtT RNA. The exact function of RtT is unknown although it is thought that it may be involved in changing the cellular response in relation to amino acid starvation. Lineage: Bacteria; Pseudomonadati; Pseudomonadota; Gammaproteobacteria; Enterobacterales; Enterobacteriaceae. The record is from RNAcentral. RNAcentral also lists the same sequence under 1 other name.